This 75-nucleotide transfer RNA is filed under the name Marmota monax (woodchuck). RNAcentral's name for it is "tRNA.Ala". The stretch from base 4 to 68 matches the Rfam family "tRNA". Rfam says of the family: Transfer RNA (tRNA) molecules are approximately 80 nucleotides in length. Their secondary structure includes four short double-helical elements and three loops (D, anti-codon, and T loops). Further hydrogen bonds mediate the characteristic L-shaped molecular structure. tRNAs have two regions of fundamental functional importance: the anti-codon, which is responsible for specific mRNA codon recognition, and the 3' end, to which the tRNAs corresponding amino acid is attached (by aminoacyl-tRNA synthetases). tRNAs cope with the degeneracy of the genetic code in two manners: having more than one tRNA (with a specific anti-codon) for a particular amino acid; and 'wobble' base-pairing, i.e. permitting non-standard base-pairing at the 3rd anti-codon position. The record is from RNAcentral. Lineage: Eukaryota; Metazoa; Chordata; Mammalia; Rodentia; Sciuridae.
UUGGGUGUGGCUCAGCGGUAGGGCACUCGCCUCGCACGUGUGAAACCCUGGGUUCGAUCCUCAGCACCAUGUAAA